Molecule: long non-coding RNA, 1459 nt
Organism: Oncorhynchus tshawytscha (Chinook salmon)
Lineage: Eukaryota; Metazoa; Chordata; Actinopteri; Salmoniformes; Salmonidae
Exons: 4
Source: RefSeq, a predicted model, not a curated record
CAGAUCUCUCUUCUAGUUCCAUCCUCUUUCCUCCAAUAAAGAGGUUGGGGCCAUGUAACUAAUGUAGCCAAACAUAAAAAUACAUUUCUCAGAAAAUAACAGUUACUGUUCUUUUGUUCAGUCUUUAUACAUUUCUGCAGAAUCUUGUCUCUCUUUUUCUCUGUGUGAUGUAAUCAGACUCACCAUACAGGAAGUAGAGCGGUUUGUCAGAAGAACUGUAGUGGGACAGAAUGGAGAACACCGUGCUCUGUGUGCUACUCUAAACCUGUUCUGACCAUCCAGCCCAACAGCACUCUGUACCCUGGAGAGACAGUUACACUGAUGGUUACUCUUACUGUCCCUCCAGGUUCCGUUGUCUCCAUCUCUCUGCCCAGGCUGCUGUUUGGUGUACUGGUGAUGUCUCCCUUUCUACUGGUGUCCAUCAUGAGGAUGGCGAAAUGCUGCAGGGCUCGAGGUUUGUGUUCAACAGUCAAAUCUCCUCAAGACCAGAUACCAUGUGAUGAUGUCAUUAAACAGAACGUAUCAUCCGUGUGAUCAUUACAGUACAAACUGUAAGCUGAACAACCACUUUUAUGAUUGUAAAGUUUUUACCAUUGAUAUAGGAUAGUGUUUACUGAGUUUAAUAUCACUGAAUGGAAUUACACAAAUGCUGAAUGUUAUGAUUUUGUAAGUUGACGAUUUCAGCUUUUGGUGGAUUGUAUACUUUCCUUUGUUAUUGAUGAUUGAUGUAGAUUUUUCUUCAAAUAUUACACUUAUCUGUCUUUAUUUCAGUUUCAGUUGCAUGCCUUUUACAUGCAGGUGGAUAUAUACAGUAUGUGAAUCUUUUCAGUUUUUAUUCUAAUUUAAAAUACUAAAGAUGUGUUUAUAGCUGGUUGGUCAACCUACUAUAACAGUUAAGAUGGAACACGUAGCUAUAGUUUGUUAUUAAAAAUGUAUAUUUGCAUAAUGCAGCUUUUAUACUUAUUAUUAUAUAAAAGGUAGACUCAGCGAAAUUACGUUGCCAAGAGUAGCACUACAGAUAUUGAGAUGAGCGAGAUGCAGGACUUCACUCUCACAGUCACAGACAGUAUCUGCCCACAUGCACGGGUUCACUUCACGGUGUUCACAGUCUGGUAGUCUCCGGACCAAAACAGAGGAGAAGUUGAGCCUCAUGCUUCAACGUUCUUAGUUGUUCUGGAAAUUGAAUCACUCCGCAGUUUACUUUCUACAUCUACGUCAAAUUGCCGAGUCUACCUUUAAACUCCACUUAAUUUUGACUUAUUUUCAUUUUCAAAUACUGUCUAAGUAUUUUGUAAAAAAAAAAGUUUUACAGCAGAAAUACAUUUCCAACAUGUAAGUAUUUUGUAAAAUGGUUUCAGUAGUUGUUUUAGGAGCCAGAUGGGUGUUCCACUAUGGAACUUAAAAUGGAGAAGGUAUGAUGUGUUUUGUAUUAAUUCUCAUAUAUCAAAUAAAAAGUGAU